GGUGGUUCGUCGUAUAGAAAUUAAAGUUCACAACCGUAGGAUCUCGUACAAAAAUACAAGAUCGUACGGCUAAGAACAUGUGAUGUAUCCAAAGUAGGACCAAAAGAGAAUCGAAACGGCGCCGUACAGAGGGACUAAAACGGAGAGAGGACGGUCCUCCGUAAUAGAAACAUACAGAGAGAAAAAAAGUUUAAGUCUCUCUGAGUUUGUGUGGUCCCGACAGAGAGAGAGCUGACACAAUUAGUCACUUGUCAGUUCAGAAUCGUCAGUUGUCAGAAUUGACCCUAAUUUAUGCAAAAAGCUCCAUUUAUCGCUAAACCACCAGUUUAAAAUCUUUUUCCCCUAUCUUUGAUACUUUUUUUUUGGCUCCCUUUCUAAUUAAUAGCGAUAUAUUUUACGUAAGGGUACGGUAAAAAACUGUGAGUUACUGCAUGCAUAGAUUUUUCUAUGUAACAUAUGACCAGCUAAAAACUCAUACAAAUAAAAUAUGACCUUUGACAGAAUUUAUAUAUUUUGUGGUGACACAAACACUCUUGUUUUACGUACCCUCUUAUUUAUUUUUUCUUCUGUAAAAGGGGUAAUUGAUUAACAAAUGUG
This is a long non-coding RNA of Arabidopsis thaliana (thale cress), 597 nucleotides long. RefSeq annotates it as other RNA. The transcript has a single exon. NCBI's taxonomy places the organism in Eukaryota, Viridiplantae, Streptophyta, Magnoliopsida, Brassicales, Brassicaceae. The record is from RefSeq.